AUUGAACGCUGGCGGCAGGCCUAACACAUGCAAGUCGAGCGCGCGGCGGACGGGUGAGUAAUGUAUGUGGAUCUGCCCGAUAGCGGGGGAUAACUCCUGGAAACGCUAUCUAAUACCGCAUCCCCUCAGAUGAACCCCUAUGGGAUUAGCUGGUAGGUGGGGUAACGGCUCACCUAGGCGACGAUCCCUCGCUGGUCUGAGAGGAUGAUCAGCCACACUGGGACUGAGACACGGCCCAGACUCCUACGGGAGGCAGCAGUGGGGAAUAUUGCACAAUGGGCGCAAGCCUGAUGCAGCCAUGCCGCGUGUAUGAAGAAGGCCUUCGGGUUGUAAAGUACUUUCAGUCGGGAGGCGUUACCGACAGAAGAAGCACCGGCUAACUCCGUGCCAGCAGCCGCGGUAAUUC
RNAcentral lists this ribosomal RNA (406 nucleotides) under uncultured bacterium. Its description in RNAcentral is "partial 16S ribosomal RNA". It matches the Rfam family "Bacterial small subunit ribosomal RNA", at positions 30 to 526 of the family's 1533-position model. The record is from RNAcentral.